RNAcentral lists this ribosomal RNA (447 nucleotides) under uncultured bacterium. RNAcentral describes it as "partial 16S ribosomal RNA". It matches the Rfam family "Bacterial small subunit ribosomal RNA", at positions 330 to 794 of the family's 1533-position model. The record is from RNAcentral.
UCCAGACUCCUACGGGAGGCAGCAGUGGGGGCUCUUGCACAAUGGGGGGCACCCUGAUGCAGCGCCGCCGCGUGGGUGAAGAAGCGCCUCGGCGCGUAAAGCCCUGUCAGCAGGGAAGAAAAUGACGGUCCCUGAAGAAGAAGCCCCGGCUAACUACGUGCCAGCAGCCGCGGUAAUACGUAGGGGGCAAGCGUUAUCCGGAUUUACUGGGUGUAAAGGGAGCGUAGACGGCGAUGCAAGUCUGAAGUGAAAGGCGGGGGCCCAACCCCCGGACUGCUUUGGAAACUGUAUGGCUGGAGUGCAGGAGAGGUAAGUGGAAUUCCUAGUGUAGCGGUGAAAUGCGGAGAUAUUAGGAGGAACACCAGUGGCGAAGGCGGCUUACUGGACUGUAACUGACGUUGAGGCUCGAAAGCGUGGGUAGCAAACAGGAUUAGAUACCCCAGUAGA